GUGCUUGCACCAGAUGACGAGUGGCGCACGGGUGCGUAACGCGUGUGCAAUCUACCUUUUACUGAAGAAUAGCCCAGAGAAAUUUGGAAUAAUCCUUCAUAACAUCAUUUAUCAGCAUUGAUUUAUGAUUAAAGCUCCGGCGGUAAAAGAUGAGCAUGCGUCCUAUCAGUUUGUUGGUGAGGUAACGGCUCACCAAGACUACGAUAGGUAGGGGCCCUGAGAGGGGGAUCCCCCACACUGGUACUGAGACACGGACCAGACUCCUACGGGAGGCAGCAGUGAGGAAUAUUGGACAAUGGGGGCAACUCUGAUCCAGCCAUGCCGCGUGCAGGAUGACUGCCCUAUGGGUUGUAAACUGCUUUUAUAUAGGAAGAAACACUCCCACGUGUGGGGGCUUGACGGUACUAUAUGAAUAAGGAUCGGCUAACUCCGUGCCAGCAGCCGCGGUAAUACGGAGGAUCCAAGCGUUAUCCGGAAUCAUUGGGUUUAAAGGGUCCGCAGGCGGCCUGUUAAGUCAGAGGUGAAAGCCAACAGCUCAACUGUUGAACUGCCUUUGAUACUGAUAGGCUAGAGUUAUUGUGAAGUGGUUAGAAUGUGUGGUGUAGCGGUGAAAUGCUUAGAUAUCACACAGAAUACCCAUUGCGAAGGCAGAUCACUAACAAUAUACUGACGCUCAUGGACGAAAGCGUGGGGAGCGAACGGGAUUAGAUACCCCGGUAGUCCACGCCGUAAACGAUGGAUACUAACUGUUCGACCUUCGGGUUGAGUGGUCAAGCGAAAGUGAUAAGUAUCCCACCUGGGGAGUACGCUCGCAAGAGUGAAAC
Molecule: ribosomal RNA, 824 nt
Filed under: uncultured Bacteroidota bacterium
Lineage: Bacteria; Pseudomonadati; Bacteroidota
Description: bacterial SSU rRNA
Rfam family: Bacterial small subunit ribosomal RNA
Source: RNAcentral